This 29-nucleotide non-coding RNA is filed under the name Mus musculus (house mouse). Lineage: Eukaryota; Metazoa; Chordata; Mammalia; Rodentia; Muridae. The record is from RNAcentral.
UCUCAGGACCCACAUGAUGGAAAGAGCAG